Molecule: non-coding RNA, 150 nt
Organism: Caenorhabditis elegans
Lineage: Eukaryota; Metazoa; Nematoda; Chromadorea; Rhabditida; Rhabditidae
Source: Ensembl
AAGCUGUAGGGAUUGGAUUGUUUUCUAGACACCUUGAAAUCCCUUGAAUUUACGUUUUUGAAACUGAUCGUUCUUCUUUUGAGAAAUAUCAAUACAAGUGACAUCGAAAAAAAAAAAAAAAUAGAGAUUCAAAAACAAAAUCGCAAUGAA